AUCCAGCUGACACGUCCCAUAUAGGACGAAGUAGCGCGCGUCCUGGAU
RNAcentral lists this non-coding RNA (48 nucleotides) under Schistosoma mansoni. The record is from RNAcentral. Lineage: Eukaryota; Metazoa; Platyhelminthes; Trematoda; Strigeidida; Schistosomatidae.